GACGAACCCUGGCGGCGUGCUUAACACAUGCAAGUCGAACGGAAAGGCCCUGCUUUUGUGGGGUGCUCGAGUGGCGAACGGGUGAGUAACACGUGAGUAACCUGCCCUUGACUUUGGGAUAACUUCAGGAAACUGGGGCUAAUACCGGAUAGGAGCUCCUGCUGCAUGGUGGGGGUUGGAAAGUUUCGGCGGUUGGGGAUGGACUCGCGGCUUAUCAGCUUGUUGGUGGGGUAGUGGCUUACCAAGGCUUUGACGGGUAGCCGGCCUGAGAGGGUGACCGGCCACAUUGGGACUGAGAUACGGCCCAGACUCCUACGGGAGGCAGCAGUGGGGAAUAUUGCACAAUGGGCGGAAGCCUGAUGCAGCAACGCCGCGUGCGGGAUGACGGCCUUCGGGUUGUAAACCGCUUUCGCCUGUGACGAAGCGUGAGUGACGGUAAUGGGUAAAGAAGCACCGGCUAACUACGUGCCAGCAGCCGCGGUGAUACGUAGGGUGCGAGCGUUGUCCGGAUUUAUUGGGCGUAAAGGGCUCGUAGGUGGUUGAUCGCGUCGGAAGUGUAAUCUUGGGGCUUAACCCUGAGCGUGCUUUCGAUACGGGUUGACUUGAGGAAGGUAGGGGAGAAUGGAAUUCCUGGUGGAGCGGUGGAAUGCGCGGAUAUCAGGAGGAACACCAGUGGCGAAGGCGGUUCUCUGGGCCUUUCCUGACGCUGAGGAGCGAAAGCGUGGGGAGCGAACAGGCUUAGAUACCCUGGUAGUCCACGCUGUAAACGGUGGGUACUAGGUGUGGGGUCCAUUCCACGGGUUCCGUGCCGUAGCUAACGCUUUAAGUACCCCGCCUGGGGAGUACGGCCGCAAGGCUAAAACCCAAAGGAAUUGACGGGGCCCCGCACAAGCGGCGGAGCAUGCGGAUUAAUUCGAUGCAACGCGUAGAACCUUACCUGGGUUUGACAUGGAUCGGGAGUGCUCAGAGAUGGGUGUGCCUCUUUUGGGGUCGGUUCACAGGUGGUGCAUGGCUGUCGUCAGCUCGUGUCGUGAGAUGUUGGGUUAAGUCCCGCAACGAGCGCAACCCUUGUUCACUGUUGCCAGCACGUUAUGGUGGGGACUCAGUGGAGACCGCCGGGGUCAACUCGGAGGAAGGUGGGGAUGACGUCAAGUCAUCAUGCCCCCUAUGUCCAGGGCUUCACGCAUGCUACAAUGGCUGGUACAGAGAGUGGCGAGCCUGUGAGGGUGAGCGAAUCUCGGAAAGCCGGUCUCAGUUCGGAUUGGGGUCUGCAACUCGACCUCAUGAAGUCGGAGUCGCUAGUAAUCGCAGAUCAGCAACGCUGCGGUGAAUACGUUCCCGGGGCU
RNAcentral lists this ribosomal RNA (1346 nucleotides) under uncultured bacterium. Its description in RNAcentral is "partial 16S ribosomal RNA". It matches the Rfam family "Bacterial small subunit ribosomal RNA", at positions 28 to 1381 of the family's 1533-position model. The record is from RNAcentral.